GAUGAACGCUAGCGGCAGGCCUAACACAUGCAAGUCGAGGGGCAGCACGUAAAAGAGUUUACUCUUUUUGGUGGCGACCGGCGGACGGGUGCGUAACGCGUAUGCAACCUGCCUGUUACAGGGGGAUAAUCCGAAGAAAUUUGGUCUAAUACCCCAUAAUAUUUGAUCAGGCAUCUGAUUGAGUUGAAAGCUACGGUGGAGGAUGGGCUCGCGAGACAUUAGCCAGUCGGCGGGGUAACGGCCCACCGAAGCGACGAUGUCUAGGGGUUCUGAGAGGAAGGGCCCCCACACUGGAACUGAGACACGGUCCAGACUCCUACGGGAGGCAGCAGUGAGGAAUAUUGGUCAAUGGGCGGAAGCCUGAACCAGCCAUGCCGCGUGAAGGAUAAGGUCCUAUGGACUGUCAACUUCUUUGGCGGGGGAGCAAUAAGGGGCACGGGUGCCCCGAUGAGAGUACCCCGCAAAAAAGCAUCGGCUAACUCCGUGCCAGCAGCCGCGGUAAUACGUAGGGAGCAAGCGUUAUCCGGAUUUAUUGGGUGUAAAGGGUGCGUAGACGGGAAGUCAAGUUAGUUGUGAAAUCCCUCGGCUCAACUGAGGAACUGCAACUAAAACUAACUUUCUUGAGUGCUGGAGAGGAAAGUGGAAUUCCUAGUGUAGCGGUGAAAUGCGUAGAUAUUAGGAGGAACACCAGUGGCGAAGGCGACUUUCUGGACAGUAACUGACGUUGAGGCACGAAAGUGUGGGGAGCAAACAGGAUUAGAUACCCUGGUAGUCCACACCGUAAACGAUGGAUACUAGGUGUAGGUGAUGAAUAAUCAUCUGUGCCGUCGCAAACGCAGUAAGUAUCCCACCUGGGGAGUACGGCCGCAAGGUUGAAACUCAAAGGAAUUGACGGGGGCCCGCACAAGCAGUGGAGUAUGUGGUUUAAUUCGACGCAACGCGAAGAACCUUACCAGGGCUUGACAUAUAGAUGAAAGUCUAAGAGAUUAGACCCCUCUUCGGAGCAUCUAUACAGGUGGUGCAUGGUUGUCGUCAGCUCGUGUCGUGAGAUGUUGGGUUAAGUCCCGCAACGAGCGCAACCCCUGUUCUUAGUUGCCAGCACGUUAAGGUGGGAACUCUAAGAAGACUGCCGGUGAUAAAUCGGAGGAAGGUGGGGACGACGUCAAAUCAUCAUGCCCUUUAUGUCUUGGGCUACACACGUACUACAAUGGCUGUAACAGAGAGAAGCAAAGCAGUGAUGCAGAGCGAAACUUUAAAAAGCAGUCUCAGUUCGGAUUGAAGGCUGAAAUUCGCCUUCAUGAAGCCGGAAUUGCUAGUAAUGGCAGGUCAGCAUACUGCCGUGAAUACGUUCCCGGGCCUUGUACACACCGCCCGUCACACCAUGAGAGUUGGGAAUACCCGAAGCCUGUGAGCUAACUUAUAGAGGCAGCAGUCGAAGGUAGAAUCAAUGAUUGGGGUGA
RNAcentral lists this ribosomal RNA (1460 nucleotides) under uncultured bacterium. RNAcentral describes it as "bacterial SSU rRNA". It matches the Rfam family "Bacterial small subunit ribosomal RNA". The record is from RNAcentral.